Molecule: ribosomal RNA, 378 nt
Filed under: uncultured bacterium
Lineage: Bacteria
Description: bacterial SSU rRNA
Rfam family: Bacterial small subunit ribosomal RNA
Source: RNAcentral
GACGAACGCUGGCGGCGUGCUUAACACAUGCAAGUCGAGCGGUAAGGCCCUUUUGGGGGUACACGAGCGGCGAACGGGUGAGUAACACGUGGGUGACCUGCCCUCAGCUCUGGGAUAAGCCUGGGAAACUGGGUCUAAUACUGGAUAUGACCUUUCCUCGCAUGGGGUUGGGUGGAAAGUUUUUCGGCUGGGGAUGGGCCCGCGGCCUAUCAGCUUGUUGGUGGGGUGAUGGCCUACCAAGGCGACGACGGGUAGCCGGCCUGAGAGGGCGACCGGCCACACUGGGACUGAGACACGGCCCAGACUCCUACGGGAGGCAGCAGUGGGGAAGUAUUGCGCAAUGGGCGGAAGCCUGACGCAGCGACGCCGCGUGGGGGA